Molecule: unclassified non-coding RNA, 313 nt
Filed under: uncultured fungus
Lineage: Eukaryota; Fungi
Description: partial contains small subunit ribosomal RNA, internal transcribed spacer 1, and 5.8S ribosomal RNA
Rfam family: Eukaryotic small subunit ribosomal RNA (bases 1-73)
Source: RNAcentral
GCAAACUUGGUCAUUUAGAGGAAGUAAAAGUCGUAACAAGGUUUCCGUAGGUGAACCUGCGGAAGGAUCAUUAUCGAAUUAUAAGGCAAGGGUUGUAGCUGGUCCUCCGGGGCAUGUGCACGCCGGAGCCGAUUUAAUCCAACACACACCUGUGAACACACCGUAGGCCUUCGGGCCUAUGUCUUUAAUCACCAACUCCAAUGUCUCUACAGAAUGUCAUCUUUUUUAUAUUUGUUGCCCUAAGAAAGCAAUCGAAUUAAAUACAACUUUCAACAACGGAUCUCUUGGCUCUCGCAUCGAUGAAGAACGCAGC